Molecule: ribosomal RNA, 116 nt
Filed under: uncultured bacterium
Lineage: Bacteria
Description: partial 16S ribosomal RNA
Rfam family: Bacterial small subunit ribosomal RNA
Source: RNAcentral
UACGGUGAAUACGUUCCCGGACCUUGCAUACACCGCCCGUCAAGCCAUGGAAGCCGGGUGUACCUAAAGUCGGUAACCGUAAGGAGCCGCCUAGGGUAAAACUGGUGACUGGGGCU